AGUGAACGCUGGCGGUAGGCCUAGCACAUGCAAGUCGAACGGCAGCACAGUAAGAGCUUGCUCUUACGGGUGGCGAGUGGCGGACGGGUGAGGAAUACAUCGGAAUCUACUUUUUCGUGGGGGAUAACGUAGGGAAACUUACGCUAAUACCGCAUACGACCUACGGGUGAAAGCAGGGGAUCUUCGGACCUUGCGCGAUUGAAUGAGCCGAUGUCGGAUUAGCUAGUUGGCGGGGUAAAGGCCCACCAAGGCGACGAUCCGUAGCUGGUCUGAGAGGAUGAUCAGCCACACUGGAACUGAGACACGGUCCAGACUCCUACGGGAGGCAGCAGUGGGGAAUAUUGGACACUGGGCGGAAGCCUGCUCCAGCCAUACCGCGUGGGUGAAGAAGGCCUUCGGGUUGUAAAGCCCUUUUGUUGGGAAAGAAAAGCAGCAGGUUAAUACCCCGCUGUUCUGACGGUACCCAAAGAAUAAGCACCGGCUAACUUCGU
This 491-nucleotide ribosomal RNA is filed under the name uncultured bacterium. RNAcentral describes it as "partial 16S ribosomal RNA". It matches the Rfam family "Bacterial small subunit ribosomal RNA", at positions 29 to 506 of the family's 1533-position model. The record is from RNAcentral.